RNAcentral lists this ribosomal RNA (372 nucleotides) under uncultured organism. RNAcentral describes it as "bacterial SSU rRNA". It matches the Rfam family "Bacterial small subunit ribosomal RNA", at positions 526 to 896 of the family's 1533-position model. The record is from RNAcentral.
CAGAGGUCUCAACCGUUGUUCGGAUUCAUUGGGCGUAAAGGGUGCGUAGGCGGCGGAGUAAGUCAGGUGUGAAAUCUCGGGGCUCAACCCCGAAACUGCACUUGAUACUGCUUCGCUCGAGUACUGGAGAGGAGACUGGAAUUUACGGUGUAGCAGUGAAAUGCGUAGAUAUCGUAAGGAAGACCAGUGGCGAAGGCGAGUCUCUGGACAGUUACUGACGCUGAGGCACGAAGGCCAGGGGAGCAAACGGGAUUAGAUACCCCGGUAGUCCUGGCAGUAAACGGUGCACGUUUGGUGUGGGAGGAUUCGACCCCUUCCGUGCCGGAGCUAACGCGUUAAACGUGCUGCCUGGGAAGUACGGUCGCAAGAUUA